CCUACGGGGGGCAGCAGUGGGGAAUGUUGCGCAAUGAUCGGAAGAGUGACGCAGCGACGCCGCGUGAAUGACGAAGGCCUUCGGGUCGUAAAGUUCUUUCGACAGGGAAGAAAAUGCCUAUAAGUAACUGUGUAUGUAUUGACGGUACCUGUAUAAGCAGCCCCGGCUAACUCCGUGCCAGCAGCCGCGGUAAUACGGAGGGGGCGAGCGUUGUUCGGAGGGACUGGGCGUAAAGAGCACGUAGGCGGUGUUGUAAGUCAUUAGUCAAAGACUAGAGCUCAACUUUAGUAAGGCUAGUGAUACUAUAAUACUAGAGUAUCAGAGAGGAUUGCAGAAUUCCUGGUGUAGCGGUGAAAUGCGUAGAUAUCAGGAGGAAUACCGUUAGCGAAGGCGGCAAUCUGGCUGGAAACUGACGCUGAGGUGCGAAAGCGUGGGUAGCAAACAGGAUUAGAUACCCUUGUAGUC
RNAcentral lists this ribosomal RNA (465 nucleotides) under uncultured bacterium. RNAcentral describes it as "partial 16S ribosomal RNA". It matches the Rfam family "Bacterial small subunit ribosomal RNA", at positions 338 to 795 of the family's 1533-position model. The record is from RNAcentral.